This 2032-nucleotide long non-coding RNA is filed under the name Anas platyrhynchos platyrhynchos (common mallard). Its description in RNAcentral is "lncRNA (ENSAPLG00000027863.1)". Lineage: Eukaryota; Metazoa; Chordata; Aves; Anseriformes; Anatidae. The record is from RNAcentral.
UAUUCUGCCCCAAAACACCCUAAAAAAAACUAAAAAAAACUAAAAAACCCUAAAUCCCACGAUUUCACCCCAAAACCUUCUUGACCUCCAAAAAACUGGCCUCGGAUCCAACCUCCACCAUUUUGUCCUCCAAAAAAAGGACCAAAACCCUCAAAUUUCGACGUCCUUCUCCUACAAAAAAGAUAAAUUCCACGCCAAAACACCCUAAAAAUAAUUAAAAAAAAGUAAAAAACCCUAAAUCCCACGAUUUCACCCCAAAACCUUCUUGGCCUCCAAAAAAACGAGCCUCAAAUCCAACCUCCACCAUUUUGUCCUCCAAAAAAAGGACCAAAACCCUCAAAUUUUGAAGUCCUUCCCCUUUAAAAAAGAUAAAUUCCACCCCAAAACACCCUAAAAAAAAAUUAAAAAAUAGUAAAAAACCCUAAAUCCCCUGAUUUCACCCCAAAACAGCCCUCCCCUCCCGGCCUCCACGGCCACCCAGGAGCUGGACAAGCUGAUGGCCUCGCUCUCCGACUUCAACCUGCGGGGUCCGGGGGGUUUUGGGGUCNNNNNNNNNNNNNNNNNNNNNNNNNNNNNNNNNNNNNNNNNNNNNNNNNNNNNNNNNNNNNNNNNNNNNNNNNNNNNNNNNNNNNNNNNNNNNNNNNNNNUAUUUCACCCCAAAACACCCUAAAAAACCUAAAAAACCCUAAAACCCUAUAUUUCACCCCAAAACCUUCUUGGCCUCCAAAAAACUGGCCUCGGAUCCAACCACCACCAUUUCGGCCUCCAAAAAAAGGCCAAAAUCCCAAAAUUUUGAGGUUUUCCCCCAGAAAAAAAAUCCUAUAUUUCACCCCAAAACAUCCUGAAAACCCUAAAAAAAACCUAAAAAACCCUAAAUCCCAUGAUUUCACCCCAAAACCUUCUUGGCCUCCAAAAAACUGGCCUCAGAUCCAACCUCCACCAUUUUGUCCUCCAAAAAAAAGGCUGAAACCUCCAAAUUUUGAGGUCUUCCCCUAUAAAAAAUAUAUAUAUAUCUUUCCCAAAACACCCUAAAAUAACCCCAAAACCCUAAAUCCCAUUAUUUCACCCCAAAACCUUCUUGACCUCCAAAAAAACGAGCCUCAAAUCCAACCACCACCAUUUUAUCCUCCAAAAAAAAGGCUGAAACCUCCAAAUUUUGAGGUCCUUCCCCUCCAAAAAUGAUAUAUUCCACCCCAAAACACCCCGAAAAACCCUAAAAAAAAACUAAAAAACCCUAAAUCCCACGAUUUCACCCCAAAACCUUCUUGACCUCCAAAAAACCGGCCUCGGAUCUAACCACCACCAUUUUGUCCUCCAAAAAAAGGACCAAAACCCUCAAAUUUCGACGUCCUUCCCCUCCAAAAAUGAUAAAUUCCACCCCAAAACACCCUAAAAAUAAGUAAAAAAAAGUAAAAAACCCUAAAUCCCACGAUUUCACCCCAAAACCUUCUUGACCUCCAAAAAACUGGCCUUGGAUCCAACCUCCACCAUUUUGUCCUCCAAAAAAAAGGCUGAAACCUUAAAAUUUCGAGGUCUUUCCCCUACAAAAAAUAUAUAUUCUGCCCCAAAACACCCUAAAAAAAACUAAAAAAAACUAAAAAGCCCUAAAUCCCACGAUUUCACCCCAAAACCUUCUUGACCUCCAAAAAAACGAGCCUCAAAUCCAACCUCCACCAUUUUGUCCUCCAAAAAAAAGGGCCAAAACCUCCAAAUUUUGAGAUAUUCCCCCUAUAAAAAAUACAUAUUCUGCCCCAAAACACCCUAAAAAAAACUAAAAAAAACUAAAAAACCCUAAAUCCCACGAUUUCACCCCAAAACCUUCUUGGCCUCCAAAAACCGGGCCUCAAAUCCGACCACCACCAUUUUGUACUCAAAAAAAGGGCCAAAACCUCCAAAUUUUGAGGUCUUCCCCUAUAAAAAAAAUAUAUAUAUCUUUCCCAAAACACCCUAAAAUAACCCCAAAACCCUAAAUCCCAUUAUUUCACCCCAAAACCUUCUUGGCCUCCAAAAAACGAGCCUCAAAUCCAACCAC